UAAUAAUAAUAAUAAUAAUAAUAAUAAUAAUAAUAAUAAUAGCUUUUGAACGCGACCUUUAAAUACAGUAUGUAUGAUUUUAUCUAAAAUUUCUAAAAUGCUCUCCCAACUGAUCGAAAUCAGUUUGUCGAUAUUUAUUCUUCGCGAAAAUGCGUUAAAUGCUAAAUAUAUAUGUAAAUGGAAGAAAAUAGAAAACGGUACAGUGUUUAUAAUAUUUAAAAUGUUAGAUGACAUCUAUAAUCAGCGAAUAGACGCUUCCGAUCCAAGGCCGCAACACGGAAGAAGCAUCGAGGUUUGUCCUUGAACUGGGAUGGCGACCGUGAAGACAGCGCUUUCCGACCCUGAACAAGAGCCGAUUGACAUAGAUGUGCAGAUUCGACCUUCAAAUGACCUUGGGGUACUAAAGGAGGUGUGGUUAUAAAAAUCGACCCAAUCACUAUUCUAUGAUAUCACACGAAAUAGAUGACAUCAUUUAACAAAUAUGGGUAUAUACAGGUAAAGGUAUUGAUCCAUUCGGGAUGUAGCGGUUGGUAUCAACUCAAAUGAAGUUUCAACCACUACUUCAUGUACAGAACAUCAAGUACGUGUAACCAGGUUAUAUUUACUUCGUGCUUUAUGGCAACCUUAACUAUUUAUCUUGUAUCAACCUUGACAGUUUUUCAAACAUCUG
Molecule: long non-coding RNA, 670 nt
Filed under: Androctonus crassicauda
Lineage: Eukaryota; Metazoa; Arthropoda; Arachnida; Scorpiones; Buthidae
Source: RNAcentral